MicroRNA precursor from Anolis carolinensis (green anole), 90 nucleotides. Ensembl annotates it as aca-mir-208. Its record names the gene aca-mir-208. Lineage: Eukaryota; Metazoa; Chordata; Lepidosauria; Squamata; Anolidae. The record is from Ensembl.
GUUUCCUCUAACAAGGAAGCUUUUGGCUCGGGUUAUAUUUUAGAAUGGCAGUGUAUAAGACGAGCAAAAAGCUUGUUGGUUGGAGGAGAA